Molecule: ribosomal RNA, 254 nt
Filed under: uncultured bacterium
Lineage: Bacteria
Description: partial 16S ribosomal RNA
Rfam family: Bacterial small subunit ribosomal RNA
Source: RNAcentral
UACAGAGGGGGCGAGCGUUGUUCGGAAUUAUUGGGCGUAAAGGGCGUGUAGGCGGCUUCGUAAGUCUCAUUGUGAAAUCCCUCGGCUCAACUGAGGAACUGCCUUUGAAACUGUCUGGCUUGAGGCCGGGAGAGGGUAGCGGAAUUCCCAGUGUAGCGGUGAAAUGCGUAGAUACUGGGAGGAACACCGGUGGCGAAGGCGGCUACCUGGACCGGUUCUGACGCUGAUGCGCGAAAGCGUGGGUAGCAAACAGG